AUUGCUUCUCUGCCUUUUGGCUAAGAAUAAGUGUAGUAUCUGUUCUUAUCAGUUUAAUUUUGGAAGAUACCACAUAUUCAGUAAUGGAUUUUGUUUUUCUUUCUCUUU
The sequence is a small nuclear RNA, 108 nucleotides long. Its record names the gene U2. It matches the Rfam family "U2 spliceosomal RNA". From Rfam's summary of the family: U2 is a small nuclear RNA (snRNA) component of the spliceosome (involved in pre-mRNA splicing). Complementary binding between U2 snRNA (in an area lying towards the 5' end but 3' to hairpin I) and the branchpoint sequence (BPS) of the intron results the bulging out of an unpaired adenosine, on the BPS, which initiates a nucleophilic attack at the intronic 5' splice site, thus starting the first of two transesterification reactions that mediate splicing. The record is from Ensembl.